RNAcentral lists this ribosomal RNA (397 nucleotides) under bacterium enrichment culture clone ALO1_GLFRUDD03FW3GP. RNAcentral describes it as "bacterial SSU rRNA". It matches the Rfam family "Bacterial small subunit ribosomal RNA", at positions 9 to 407 of the family's 1533-position model. The record is from RNAcentral.
GAGUUUGAUCCUGGCUCAGAUUGAACGCUGGCGGCAUGCCUUACACAUGCAAGUCGAACGGCAGCACGGGAGCUUGCUCCUGGUGGCGAGUGGCGAACGGGUGAGUAAUGCAUCGGAACGUAUCCUGGAGUGGGGGGAUAACGUAGCGAAAGUUACGCUAAUACCGCAUAUUCUGUGAGCAGGAAAGCGGGGGACCUUCGGGCCUCGCGCUCUUGGAGCGGCCGAUGUCGGAUUAGCUAGUUGGUGAGGUAAAGGCUCACCAAGGCGACGAUCCGUAGCAGGUCUGAGAGGAUGAUCUGCCACACUGGAACUGAGACACGGUCCAGACUCCUACGGGAGCAGCAGUGGGAAUUUUGGACAAUGGGGGCAACCCUGAUCCAGCCAUGCCGCGUGAGUG